UUGUUGAGGUGAUAAGGUCUCCCACAGGGGAUGAUGCUGUUGUCCGACCUCCUGAGGGGGGUUCUGCGCCCACUUGGAAAUGUGACACCGUGUCCGAGUCUUCUUGGGAGAGCGGCAGCUGUGGGAAUAUUUUUGCACAAGUGGGAGAGACCCGAUGCAGCAAACACCGCCGUGAGAGAUGAAGAGCGCUUUGAGUGUUAUAAGAUCUGUGCUUAUGUGGGAAAUAUAAUCGGGUGUCCCUAUAUGAGGAGCCCCAGGGUAAAUAUAUGUGCACCACAGCGCGCUGUUAUGUAUAGGUGCAAGAGUGUUCUCGGAAUUUCUGGGGGUAUAAGGUAUGUGUAGGGUUUCUUAUGUCUCAGGUGUAAAAUUCCGGCUCUCAACGUAGUGAGCCUCAUAAGAAUGGUGAAUGUGUAGAUAGCAGAAGAAAGAGGAAUUAUUCAGUGGAGCGGUGAAGUACGUAGUUAUUAUUAGGAACACCACCAGUGAAGAAGACUUUUUUGUGUACAAUAAACGAUGAUGCAGCAUAGAGUGGUGAGCAGCCAGCAUGAUUUACCACCGUAGUACUCCAUGCAAUCAAUGAUUAAUAGUUGUUGUAUGUCGUAUGUACGCGCUGUGGUUAGCACUUUACAUAAUAAGUAUUGGGCGUACGGUGUCCAGUCUCAAAAUUAAAAGUAUUGGGAAUGACCGGCACAAGUCGCAGACCAUGUAGCAUGAUUUGUAGUUAGGAGCAAAACGUUGCACAUGACUUAGAUUCGUCUUCCCAGCCAUUACCUGUAAUCAUGUUAUUCGUUAGGGACAGGGAGCCGGGUGGGCCUGGGUGUUGUUAAGUUGGGUUGUUGGGUGGUGGGUUUAGUUCCGCAAAGAAGGCCACCCCUAUUCUUUAUUUGCUUCCGUUAAGUUGGGCACUCUAGUAAGACUGCCGGGGUUAACUGGGAGGAAGGUGGGGAUGACGUCAAAUCAUCAUGCCCCUUAUGUUUAGGGCUACACACGUGCUACAAUGGUUGUUACAAUAAGAUGCGAGACCGCGAGGUGGAGCUAAUCUCAUAAAAACAAUCUAAGUGCGGAUUGUAGGCUGAAACUCGCCUACAUGAAGC
RNAcentral lists this ribosomal RNA (1094 nucleotides) under Clostridium sp. R63. RNAcentral's name for it is "bacterial SSU rRNA". It matches the Rfam family "Bacterial small subunit ribosomal RNA", at positions 246 to 1326 of the family's 1533-position model. The record is from RNAcentral. Lineage: Bacteria; Bacillati; Bacillota; Clostridia; Eubacteriales; Clostridiaceae.